Molecule: ribosomal RNA, 1369 nt
Filed under: uncultured bacterium
Lineage: Bacteria
Description: 16S ribosomal RNA
Rfam family: Bacterial small subunit ribosomal RNA
Source: RNAcentral
UCCUGGCUCAGGAUGAACGCUAGCUACAGGCUUAACACAUGCAAGUCGAGGGGCAGCAUGGUCUUAGCUUGCUAAGGCCGAUGGCGACCGGCGCACGGGUGAGUAACACGUAUCCAACCUGCCGUCUACUCUUGGACAGCCUUCUGAAAGGAAGAUUAAUACAAGAUGGCAUCAUGAGUCCGCAUGUUCACAUGAUUAAAGGUAUUCCGGUAGACGAUGGGGAUGCGUUCCAUUAGAUAGUAGGCGGGGUAACGGCCCACCUAGUCUUCGAUGGAUAGGGGUUCUGAGAGGAAGGUCCCCCACAUUGGAACUGAGACACGGUCCAAACUCCUACGGGAGGCAGCAGUGAGGAAUAUUGGUCAAUGGGCGAGAGCCUGAACCAGCCAAGUAGCGUGAAGGAUGACUGCCCUAUGGGUUGUAAACUUCUUUUAUAAAGGAAUAAAGUCGGGUAUGGAUACCCGUUUGCAUGUACUUUAUGAAUAAGGAUCGGCUAACUCCGUGCCAGCAGCCGCGGUAAUACGGAGGAUCCGAGCGUUAUCCGGAUUUAUUGGGUUUAAAGGGAGCGUAGAUGGAUGUUUAAGUCAGUUGUGAAAGUUUGCGGCUCAACCGUAAAAUUGCAGUUGAUACUGGAUAUCUUGAGUGCAGUUGAGGCAGGCGGAAUUCGUGGUGUAGCGGUGAAAUGCUUAGAUAUCACGAAGAACUCCGAUUGCGAAGGCAGCCUGCUAAGCUGCAACUGACAUUGAGGCUCGAAAGUGUGGGUAUCAAACAGGAUUAGAUACCCUGGUAGUCCACACGGUAAACGAUGAAUACUCGCUGUUUGCGAUAUACAGCAAGCGGCCAAGCGAAAGCGUUAAGUAUUCCACCUGGGGAGUACGCCGGCAACGGUGAAACUCAAAGGAAUUGACGGGGGCCCGCACAAGCGGAGGAACAUGUGGUUUAAUUCGAUGAUACGCGAGGAACCUUACCCGGGCUUAAAUUGCAGAUGAAUUACGGUGAAAGCCGUAAGCCGCAAGGCAUCUGUGAAGGUGCUGCAUGGUUGUCGUCAGCUCGUGCCGUGAGGUGUCGGCUUAAGUGCCAUAACGAGCGCAACCCUUGUUGUCAGUUACUAACAGGUUCCGCUGAGGACUCUGACAAGACUGCCAUCGUAAGAUGUGAGGAAGGUGGGGAUGACGUCAAAUCAGCACGGCCCUUACGUCCGGGGCUACACACGUGUUACAAUGGGGGGUACAGAGGGCCGCUACCACGCGAGUGGAUGCCAAUCCCCAAAACCUCUCUCAGUUCGGACUGGAGUCUGCAACCCGACUCCACGAAGCUGGAUUCGCUAGUAAUCGCGCAUCAGCCACGGCGCGGUGAAUACGUUCCCGGGCCU